This 223-nucleotide long non-coding RNA is filed under the name Nicotiana benthamiana. RNAcentral's name for it is "long non-coding RNA (NBEN_LNC000819)". The record is from RNAcentral. Lineage: Eukaryota; Viridiplantae; Streptophyta; Magnoliopsida; Solanales; Solanaceae.
ACCACAUGGCACGUGCUCGUUUCGCCACCAUGGUUGUUGCCAUGAUAGUAUAAUAAGACGACUACUUUCUGCACGUCACUAUAUAUGGUUGUAUAUGGACAUGAUUCACUUGCUUGCAACAAGAUGACUACUUUCUCAGCGACAUUGAACAACUAUAUGAACAUUCAUCUGCUACCAACAAGACGACUAUUCUUUGCACGUCACAAAAUAUGGCUAUAUGGAC